Molecule: ribosomal RNA, 253 nt
Filed under: uncultured bacterium
Lineage: Bacteria
Description: partial 16S ribosomal RNA
Rfam family: Bacterial small subunit ribosomal RNA
Source: RNAcentral
UACGGGGGGGGCAAGCGUUGUUCGGAAUUACUGGGCGUAAAGGGCUCGUAGGCGGCCAACUAAGUCAGACGUGAAAUCCCCAGGCUCAACCUGGGAACUGCGUCUGAUACUGGAUGGCUUGAAUCCGGGAGAGGGAUGCAGAAUUCCAGGUGUAGCGGUGAAAUGCGUAGAUAUCUGGAGGAAUACCGGUGGCGAAGGCGGCAUCCUGGACCGGUACUGACGCUGAGGUGCGAAAGCGUGGGGAGCAAACAGG